UGAAAUAUGAAGGUAAUUGAAAUCUGAAAUGAAUGAUUUUCGCCACAGAGGAAACAUGGAGGGUAGUUCGUUGUCGCCGUGUCCCUGCUGCCAAAAACGAGGAUGGCUGGAACAGAGACUCAGGGUUGCUGCUGCUGUGGCCAUCGUGAGGCUGAGACAAAGAGGCGUUUUAAUUCUCUGUGCUGAAGAAACUACAAAAGCUAACGAAGAGCGUAAUCUAGGCGAAGAAAAUGGGAGGGAGAAGGAAAAUGGAUGCACAUCAAAUUUAAACAUUGUGUCCUUUUCACGUACUGCACGCGUCCUCCAGAGCCUUACCUCUUCUCGCCUCACACCUGGAGAGAGAGAUCCUGCGUAUCACACGUCAGGACUUCCACAAAACUCUUGCCUCUUUCCCCCACUCGACCUCAUCCUUUCUACCCUCUGUCACCACAUUAUCGAUUUGGAUGCUCAACUUUGCUUGGGCCAGUCUAGGGAGGUACAACCUGGCUUUGGCGUAAAUGCAAUCUCGCAAACGGACACCCGUGUAGCUGUCUUACCAACACUCCAGGCAUUGCGGGGUGUGGAUCUGAGCUACAGUCAGGCGUCUUCAGCUCUCCAAAAUCUAAUGAGCCAACUGAAUGAGUUGUGGCCAGGAACGGUGGGCUUGUGGUCCCGCGUGAGGCGUGUUGCCACUUGGUUCACUCGGGAGUUGCUGAAAUUGCUGCUUAAAGAUUGUGAGCUGGGAAGGUUCCCUAGGCAGAGGCAGCGAGUGGCCGUGCUGUCUAAUUUGGCUUGUGCUCAGUUGUUGCAGCCCCUUUUGACCUCUGAAAUCUUGAACUCACUCGAAGGUUUCUCCAAUAUUAUAGAGGAAACAUUAUUUUAUGAAAACUCGAUCUUCAUCCUGGAACUUCUCUCACAGAAUGGGCUACUGGCUCCACUCGCUGGUUCCUCGUCACGUUUACUCCACUCACCCAUGUUGCAGUCCUCUUGUUAUCCGCUUUAUCACAUCUACACCAGCCAUAUGUUUCGCUAACUCAUUUUGCUUUGCAUUAACCUCAUUCUGCUCUGUGUACACUCCUGUAAGUCUCUCAAAUAUAUCUAUUUUUCAAAAGUACACUAUGCAUUGAUCAUUCUUCUUGACGGGAACGUAUGAAAAUGACAAACCGUUUUACAAUUACACCAUGUACAAUGGUACCGUUUUUAUUGACUAUCACACCACACACACACACACACACACACACACACACACACACACACACACACACACACACACACACACACACACACACAC
Molecule: long non-coding RNA, 1270 nt
Filed under: Eptatretus burgeri (inshore hagfish)
Lineage: Eukaryota; Metazoa; Chordata; Myxini; Myxiniformes; Myxinidae
Description: lncRNA (ENSEBUG00000017142.1)
Source: RNAcentral